GGGUGUGAUCAUACCAACACUAAUGCACCGGAUCCCAUCAGAACUCCGCAGUUAAGCGUGUUUGGGCGAGAGUAGUACUAGGAUGGGUGACCUCCUGGGAAGUCCUCGUGUUGCACCCCU
This 120-nucleotide ribosomal RNA is filed under the name Quercus petraea (sessile oak). Lineage: Eukaryota; Viridiplantae; Streptophyta; Magnoliopsida; Fagales; Fagaceae. The record is from RNAcentral.